RNAcentral lists this ribosomal RNA (279 nucleotides) under uncultured bacterium. Its description in RNAcentral is "partial 16S ribosomal RNA". It matches the Rfam family "Bacterial small subunit ribosomal RNA", at positions 506 to 784 of the family's 1533-position model. The record is from RNAcentral.
UGCCAGCCGCCGCGGUAAUACAGAGGGUGCAAGCGUUAAUCGGAAUUACUGGGCGUAAAGGGCCCGUAGGCGGUUUGGUUAGUCUUAUGUGAAAGCCCCGGGCUUAACCUGGGAAUGUCAUAGGAUACUGCCUGACUAGAGUAUAGGAGAGGGAAGUGGAAUUUCCGGUGUAGCGGUGAAAUGCGCAGAUAUCGGAAGGAACACCAGUGGCGAAGGCGACUUCCUGGCCUAAUACUGACGCUGAGGGGCGAAAGCGUGGGGAGCAAACAGGAUUAGAUA